This is a non-coding RNA of Pelobates cultripes (western spadefoot toad), 205 nucleotides long. The record is from the annotation of a GenBank genome assembly. NCBI's taxonomy places the organism in Eukaryota, Metazoa, Chordata, Amphibia, Anura, Pelobatidae.
CCCUUUCAUACUCUCCUUUACGCAGGAGGGUGUGGCCUGUUGCCAAUCAGAGACUGCAACCUGGCGCACUGAACAAACGCCAUUCUGAUUCCGAAUACUGAUAGGGUAGAUCAUUCUACAAAGCCUGGAUGUUGGGCCAUAAAGAGUUAAUAUUGUGAAGUCUCAGUAUAGAUAAGGUAGAAAGGGGUAGCACAGACUUUUACUA